UGCCAGCAGCCGCGGUAAUACGGAGGGGGUUAGCGUUGUUCGGAAUUACUGGGCGUAAAGCGCACGUAGGCGGAUUGGAAAGUAGGGGGUGAAAUCCCAGGGCUCAACCCUGGAACUGCCUCCUAAACUGUUAGUCUUGAGAUCGAGAGAGGUGAGUGGAAUUCCAAGUGUUGAGGUGAAAUUCGUAGAUAUUUGGAGGAACACCAGUGGCGAAGGCGGCUCACUGGCUCGAUACUGACGCUGAGGUACGAAAGUGUGGGGAGCAAACAGGAUUAGAUA
This 279-nucleotide ribosomal RNA is filed under the name uncultured bacterium. RNAcentral's name for it is "partial 16S ribosomal RNA". It matches the Rfam family "Bacterial small subunit ribosomal RNA", at positions 506 to 784 of the family's 1533-position model. The record is from RNAcentral.